This 299-nucleotide long non-coding RNA is filed under the name Elaeis guineensis (African oil palm). Its description in RNAcentral is "long non-coding RNA (EGUI_LNC051718)". Lineage: Eukaryota; Viridiplantae; Streptophyta; Magnoliopsida; Arecales; Arecaceae. The record is from RNAcentral.
GCGAGACGAGUUAUAAGACCUUUUCAACUGGAUUACACUGAAAGUUUUGCUGGAAUCAUGAGUUCUGCAUUCCUCUAUAUGCCUCCCAAUUAGACCUGGAAUCACUUUUUUUUUAAAAAAAAAGUGGGCAAAAAAAGAAAAACAGUUUGGAGAGUGAUAUAUGACGCUAGAUUUAGGCUCUGGUCCAGAAGGGCAUAAGUUCAAAACAGUAAUGGUACUCCUUUUGCAAUAUGGUCUUUAAUGGAUGUAUGAAUUACAACUAUUUAUGGGUUGAAUCGGAUAUCAUCAUGGUGCUAAUG